GGCCUGGCGCGUCCGCCGAGCGCGGGGGUUUGUUUAUUUUCCCGGUUGGUAGCGGCGCUGGCGCUGGUUAGAGGUUCGCCGGUGACGUGAGCGCCCGAGUUGGGGGAGAGGACCAGAACCACCUGCUGGAGAAAGGGAGCUACGGGGGCCGGGCAGGGUCCAAACGCCUCACGUGGGCGGCGGCGCCACGGUCUUCGGGGUCACAGGGAAGAGAAGGGCUCUCCUCAAGCGGGUGGAAGGAGGGAGGCCUCCCGAGGGAAUGAGACUCCAGGCCACUCCCCCGCAGCAAGGCAGGAUCACCUGCGUCGCGGAGAGCAGUUAGAGGUCCCUGGAGUGGAAAAGGGCAGUGGGACCUGGUAGCUUGGGUUCCCUGCAACUUGGGGUUCGACCUCCAGGCAAUGAAGUAGGGAUGGUCCUGCAAGUCAAGAUUCCAGUAGCAAGAGUGCAUCAGAUCUCUGUAAGGAAAAUAACUAACAUUGCUCAGUUCCCUGUAGAGUUGCAGGGCGCUUUGACGUUAUCUCCCUUGGUUCUCCAUCAGGUCGUAGUGGACUAAUUUUACAGGCGAAGUUAAGUGACUUACCCAAAACCUCACAGCUAAUAAACGGCAGAGCCGGCACCCAGCUGUACUGGCUUCCAGCGCAUCCCAUUAUCUCCAUAAAUCCCCCUGAUUCAACUAAUAUUAGACGCCCCACAGGUAAGAUGCUUCAGAGUUAGAGGGGAGUUGAAGAUACCUUUGCCUUCAAAGAAGUAAGGAAUGAAACAAAGAUAAAACAGACAAUAAAAGACAAACCAUGAUAGGUGCCACGUGAAAAGUGGCAGAGUACUGCCGGGAAUCAAAGAACCGUGUAUAUCUGUCUUGGGGAUAAGGAAAGAAACGCAGCAUGAAGGAGUAGGCAUUUGGGAUUGACCUUGAAGGAGACAGGGAGAGUUUUACAGCAAGAAGGGAUAGCAUGAGAAUAUAUAUGAAGGCGAAUCAGUGAAAGUUGUGUUGGGGAAAGAGCAAAGACUCCAGGUAUGUUGAGAGGUAGAAAAGACAAAGGAGUAUGGGGCCUAAGAUACCAAAUGGAUGAAUUUAUAUUUAAUUCAGUAUUUUGAGUUUUUAUGGUUCAGAAGUUUGGGGGAAGAAAAGGAAGGUUUUUUUUUUCUUUAUGCUAGUGAUUUAUCUGUGAAGGGAAGCAGAAAUCAGAGGUGGAAAAACUGACAGAUCUACUGUAGGCCAGGUAAAAGGUAAUGAUGAGUCUGACCUAAAGGGACAGCCAGGGGAAUUUAAAGAGCAUAGUUGAGAGAUGAUGUGCAUGCAGAAUCUAUAGAAUUUGCUAACUGAUUGAUUAAUUGUGGGUAGGAAGAGAGAAAUCAAAGAAAGUGGAGGUUUUGAGUUUCUAGAUAAUUGCAAGAGAGAAAAGAGACAAUUACAAAGGAAAGGAGAAGGAGCUACUUCUUGAGAGAAGAUCAGUUUAGAUUUAGACAUUUUAAGAAUUCAAAGGGUUGUCAAGACAGCCAGACGGACAUGGACACUAAUAAGUUAGAAAUAAAGGUUUUGUAAUAUGGGAAAGAGGACUGAGCUAGAAAAUAGACUCAUAGAUAAUCAGCCUAGGAGUGAUAUUGCUGUGAGAUAAAAGAAGAAAACAAAGUCAGAAUCUUGGAAAACACCCUCUUCAGAGUCUCGCUGCUCAAAACGUGGUCAGUGGCCCAGCAGCACUGACAUGAGGACCUUAGUUGGAAACUCAGAAUCUCAGGCUCCACCCCAGACCUGCUGAACCAGCAUCUUCAACUUAACAAGAACCCGAAGAGAUUUGUGCCACAUCAAAAAGUUUGAGAAGCUCUGAUCUAGGUGAGCCAAGCCAGCAAAGAAAGGGGGUGGAGCAGAAAAUGGGAGGAGAAUAGGGUAAUGCAGAAUCAUCAAGACAAGGUAAAUUGGACUUUCACAAAAACGGGGCUGGAAGGAGUGUUGCUCAACAAUAUCCAAAACCACAGAGGUUGAAAAGCACAAGGAAAGAAGCUGGACCCUGGACACGGUGACUCUGAUUCAAUUAUGCAGAUGACCACAAGCCUCUGGGGUUGGCAGAGCCACAAGAAAGAAGGUGCCUGGAUGAAGGAGAGCUACCCACUGACCUGGACACCCAAUUAUUCAUCUGUCUUAGAGCUAUUGGAAUCCUGGAUCAUUGUGGGAAAUGAAAAGAACUGGUUUUUAGCAAGGAGACCAAGAAACUCUACUCCCUAGGGGCUAGCAAUGAGAGAAAGGAAGCCUUGAGUCUUUGAGCACAGGGUGACAGUUUGGGUCCUAUGUGAGAUGAUCAAAUCCACAGCAACAGAGGAAAGGACAAAAGGAAAAGAUACUUCGAUGGAAUCAGCAGCCAUUGAUCCAAUGCCAACUCCAAGACUGGAACGUCGCAAUGAUAGUUCCAAGGCGGAAAUUUGAC
RNAcentral lists this long non-coding RNA (2420 nucleotides) under Homo sapiens (human). Its description in RNAcentral is "HSALNT0353261". Lineage: Eukaryota; Metazoa; Chordata; Mammalia; Primates; Hominidae. The record is from RNAcentral.